UUUAGUGUGAGUACAUAAAUGUUGAUUCUUUCCGUACUUAUAUUGAUACGUAUUUGCAUUGACGACUCGUACCAUUUUGAAGGCGGACUACAUGAGGGCAGACGCAGACGACUUUACGGUUGCCAGGCACUUCGAGGCCUACUUACUGUGGUUGUUCGGCUGGGUCAUGUUCUGCAGCUCGCAGGGUGACUCGUGCCCCAAACAGCUCAUUCCUUUGGCGAGGUCAAUAGCUGACAUUCCACUUCACGAGAUGCCAUAGUUCAGCUGGGGUUCUGCUAUUUUGGCUGCGAGUUACAGGGGUCUUUGCACGGGCGUGACGAAGGUCUCAACAGAGGAGCCCAUUUUUGUUGGGUGUCCUCUACUGUUACAGCUCUGGUCUUACGAGCGCUUUCCCGUCGGUAGGCCAGAGAUGGACUUCGAGCCGUACGUCCAGCUGUCCGCAGACCACGACGACGUCGACAGACCUACGAUGGGUUCAUUGUGGUGCCUCAGGAGGCCUUCUUGGGUCGGCGUGCAGACGAGGAAGUCGUACCACGACUUCGUUGGAUAGUUUGACGCUCUUGUGGACACGGACGUGAGGUGGACUCCGUACACUGCAGCCGACAUUUACGCCCGGGCACGGACGUGAGGAGGAGAGGGGGCAAGCGCGGACACAUCUAGUUUACAGGUUGUAGCUUGUUAAUUACUUUGUUCCGUCAUACUAUAUUAUGUAUGCAUGUGCAGACUAUGAUUCGAUGUGUCCAUUACGUACCAUUAUGAUGAGUAGGCCGGUGCAAUGUUUCGGGCGAUGGUA
Molecule: long non-coding RNA, 793 nt
Organism: Panicum virgatum (switchgrass)
Lineage: Eukaryota; Viridiplantae; Streptophyta; Magnoliopsida; Poales; Poaceae
Exons: 2
Source: RefSeq, a predicted model, not a curated record